GACGAACGCUGGCGGCGUGCUUAACACAUGCAAGUCGAACGGUAAGGCCCUUUCGGGGGUACACGAGUGGCGAACGGGUGAGUAACACGUGGGUGAUCUGCCCUGCACUUUGGGAUAAGCCUGGGAAACUGGGUCUAAUACCGGAUAGGACUACGCGAUGCAUGUCGUGUGGUGGAAAGCUUUUGCGGUGUGGGAUGGGCCCGCGGCCUAUCAGCUUGUUGGUGGGGUGAUGGCCUACCAAGGCGACGACGGGUAGCCGGCCUGAGAGGGUGUCCGGCCACACUGGGACUGAGAUACGGCCCAGACUCCUACGGGAGGCAGCAGUGGGGAAUAUUGCACAAUGGGCGCAAGCCUGAUGCAGCGACGCCGCGUGGGGGAUGACGGCCUUCGGGUUGUAAACCCCUUUCAGCACAGACGAAGCGUAAGGGACGGUAUGUGCAGAAGAAGCACCGGCCAACUACGUG
RNAcentral lists this ribosomal RNA (464 nucleotides) under uncultured bacterium. Its description in RNAcentral is "partial 16S ribosomal RNA". It matches the Rfam family "Bacterial small subunit ribosomal RNA", at positions 28 to 507 of the family's 1533-position model. The record is from RNAcentral.